GCCCCGGUAGCUCAGCCGGAUAGAGCGUCCGCCUCCUAAGCGGAAGGUCAUAGGUUCGAGUCCUAUUCGGGGCGCCA
This 77-nucleotide transfer RNA is filed under the name Gammaproteobacteria bacterium. Its description in RNAcentral is "tRNA-Arg". It matches the Rfam family "tRNA". Rfam says of the family: Transfer RNA (tRNA) molecules are approximately 80 nucleotides in length. Their secondary structure includes four short double-helical elements and three loops (D, anti-codon, and T loops). Further hydrogen bonds mediate the characteristic L-shaped molecular structure. tRNAs have two regions of fundamental functional importance: the anti-codon, which is responsible for specific mRNA codon recognition, and the 3' end, to which the tRNAs corresponding amino acid is attached (by aminoacyl-tRNA synthetases). tRNAs cope with the degeneracy of the genetic code in two manners: having more than one tRNA (with a specific anti-codon) for a particular amino acid; and 'wobble' base-pairing, i.e. permitting non-standard base-pairing at the 3rd anti-codon position. Lineage: Bacteria; Pseudomonadati; Pseudomonadota; Gammaproteobacteria. The record is from RNAcentral. RNAcentral also lists the same sequence under 1 other name.